This 253-nucleotide ribosomal RNA is filed under the name uncultured prokaryote. RNAcentral's name for it is "partial 16S ribosomal RNA". It matches the Rfam family "Bacterial small subunit ribosomal RNA", at positions 524 to 776 of the family's 1533-position model. The record is from RNAcentral.
GACAGGGGAUGCAAGCGUUAUCCGGAAUGAUUGGGCGUAAAGCGUCUGUAGGUGGCUUUUUAAGUCUGCCGUCAAAUCCCAGGGCUCAACCCUGGCCAGGCGGUGGAGACUACUAAGCUGGAGUACGGUAGGGGCAGAGGGAAUUUCCGGUGGAGCGGUGAAAUGCGUAGAUAUUGGAAAGACCGCCAAUGGCGAAGGCACUCUACUGGGCCACAACUGACACUGAGAGACGAAAGCUAGGGGAGCAAAUGGG